This 292-nucleotide ribosomal RNA is filed under the name uncultured bacterium. RNAcentral describes it as "partial 16S ribosomal RNA". It matches the Rfam family "Bacterial small subunit ribosomal RNA", at positions 505 to 796 of the family's 1533-position model. The record is from RNAcentral.
GUGCCAGCAGCCGCGGUAAUACGGAGGGGGCUAGCGUUGUUCGGAAUUACUGGGCGUAAAGGGCGCGUAGGCGGCUUGCUAAGUCGGUGGUGAAAUCCCGUGGCUCAACUACGGAACUGCCAUCGAUACUGGCGAGCUUGAAUCCGGGAUAGGUCGGCGGAAUUGCUGGUGUAGCGGUGAAAUGCGUAGAUAUCAGCAGGAACACCGAUGGCGAAGGCAGCUGGCUGGACCGGUAUUGACGCUGAGGCGCGAAAGCGUGGGUAGCAAACAGGAUUAGAAACCCUUGUAGUCC